RNAcentral lists this unclassified non-coding RNA (275 nucleotides) under fungal sp. Its description in RNAcentral is "partial contains 5.8S ribosomal RNA, internal transcribed spacer 2, and large subunit ribosomal RNA". The stretch from base 1 to 71 matches the Rfam family "5.8S ribosomal RNA", at positions 84 to 154 of the family's 154-position model. Lineage: Eukaryota; Fungi. The record is from RNAcentral.
GUGAGUCAUCGAAUCUUUGAACGCACAUUGCGCCUCCGGGUAUUCCUGGAGGCAUGCCUGUUCGAGCGUCGUUAAAGACCAUGAGGCUUUGCCUUGCGAUGAGCGUCCGAUCCCUCGGGGUUGGUAGCUUCAAACUGAUUGGCGUCUGAAGUUUAGCCCAAGCACAGCAAAAUGUGGUGAAGCGACGGAAGGACUGCCUACUCAUAAAACACAAAGGUCGACCUCGGAUCAAGCAAGACUACCCGCUGAACUUAAGCAUAUCAAUAAGCGGAGGA